This is a long non-coding RNA of Dioscorea cayenensis subsp. rotundata (Guinea yam), 1114 nucleotides long. RefSeq lists it as uncharacterized. The transcript is spliced from 5 exons. The record is from RefSeq and is a predicted model, not a curated record. Lineage: Eukaryota; Viridiplantae; Streptophyta; Magnoliopsida; Dioscoreales; Dioscoreaceae.
UUAUAGUUCUUUUUAAUUUUUUGCUUCGCCUGCCAAAACCCUUUUUUCCUUCGCUUGCCUCCCUUUUUCUUUCAUCACCUCUGGCAACGCUUGAAGCUCCCUGCUCCCCAUAUUUCAUCACCACUCUAGUAAGAUUCUCUAUGCUUGUUUUAGGGCUUCUUGCCAUUAUUUUGAUGAAGAAGUAGUGUUUUCUUUAGUUAAUUUGAUUUUAUGUUGAGGUUGUUGUCUUUAAAUUUGAAUGGGUUGUGUUUUAAUUGAGGUGUUGAUUUUGAUUUUGAUUAAUUUGGUCAAUUGUCUUGUUUAAAACCAUUAUUUGUUGUUCGCCAAGUUUUUUUAUUUUGUGCAAUAAUUUUAGUCAAUACGUAGAAAUGCACAAGCACAUAUAUCUUCAUUCUUUGUCGUUCGCCAAGAUUUAAAUCUUUGUUUUAUUAGCUUAACCUCAGAAACUAAUGAUUUUGCUUUAAAUCUUUGUUUAAUUAGCUUUUAAUAUUUUAAGAGUUGGAUUCACUCUAAAGAAAGACAUAUCUUUCUAUACAGAUAUGUCACAUUAUUCCAAGUUUUUGAUCAUUUAAUCACUUAACAACUAUUUGUUAUUCAAAUUGUUUUCAAGAAGAACAAAUAAUUAAUGGAACUGUUAAACAAAAAGUAAUAAAUGUAGUUAACCUCUUCAUAAUGUCCUCAUUUGUGUAUAUUUCUUAAUUUUUCUUUUCUGUUUAUACUUCAAAUUUGUGCAUUAACUAUUUGUCUUGACGAAGGGAAUGCAACUCCUAGAGGUCAAUAAGAGGUUGAAAGCAAAGUUGGAGGAGAUGCAGAUGAUUGAGAAGCUAGAAUGGAGGUUUAUGGAGAAUUACAAAUGAUCAUCUAUUGAGAGAAUACCCUUUGCUGUAGAGACUUUGAGCUUGUCUCUUCGAAAAAUUGCUGAUUUUGUCAUAGUGCCGCACUUUGGUCGUUUCUUCAUAAUGAUCGCACUCCAAUUUUUGGAAAUAAAAGGCUUACUUAACUAGUUCUCAUGAAGUUGUGGCUGGAAACUAUUUCAAACAUUGAGUUGGAACAAUGUGACUAUUUUGAUAAUUAUAUGAUCUUAGCUUAUUUUUGUCUAUAUUUGUAAAUUUAA